CCGAGGCCAGCACGUGGGGGAUCCAGGCCGCGACGCACCCAGGCGGAGGCCACAACGGCGCGGUCCGUCCCGGACCAAGAGAGAGACACACGGAAGGCGACACGUACCACGUGAGCCGACCAAAGCUCGCCCGUGCUGCGGCCCUGAGACUCCGCGAGCGUGCAAGAGACGGUGGAGCACCCGAGGCAGCCGGCGGCGAUUCCUCGCCCGGCCGCUCUCCGCUCCUCGGCGUCGCCGGUGCAAAUGCCUGCGCCGAGACCGCAGCAGCAGCUCCUCGCGGCGGCGUGGAGCCUCGGCCUGCUCUGCCUCGCCGCCGCGGAAGGUGGAGGCGGCUCCUGCGAGCUCUCGGUCGAGCGCGGUGGCGCGCUCUACAACUUCAGCCUCGCGGCGCCGACGCCGGCCCACCGCCACGGCGUCCUCAGCGAGGAUGGGUUUUACAAAGUGGCCAUGAACGAUUCAGUCAUCUGGUUCCAGCUCUGCGAUCAGAUGAUAUUCAACUUUGACCCACCUGUCUGUCUUCACUGUGAGGACUGUGGUGGUCCAUUGCGGUGUGGCACCCAAUGCAGCGCACUUGCGUCAAAUAACAUUGGAGGGUAUGAUGUUUGUACAACCAUUGGAAGGGCAUCUGGAUCCCAUAUAUCUCUAAUAGAUGACGGUAAUCCCCAAAAGGGUGUCAUUUUCAAGAUGUUUUCAUCAAAGUGUUCUAUUUCUGUUUUCAUCUUCUGUGAUUCAGCUGUAGCCCAACUACCAGAUAAAUUUACCCAAUCUGGAAGUUGUGAUUACGUUACGAUACUUAGACACCCUUCUGGGUGUGCAAGAUCAGUGUCUGAUGCUGGAAAUGGCUGGGGAUGGUUAGGCACUUCGUUCAUAACAAUUUUGUGCCUUCUUGGAGGGUACAUUCUGAUUGGUGCAAUCUAUAGAUAUUAUUUCCUCGGCAUUCAUUCUGUAGAGGCCAUUCCGAACCUGGAAUUUUGGAUCAGUUUGCCACAGAGAAUUAAGAGCAUGUUUGUUCGUUCAAGAAGAAACCCAAGAAGUCAGAGCAGAGACACUAGAGGACCAUACACCACUGUAAACCACUGAGAAGUAGAAAAAUCCAAUACCAGUAUUGGCAGUCAUACAGUGAACAAGCUUGCAGAGGCCGGGGGUAUUCCUCCUUUUCGAAAAAAAAUACAGUGAACAAGCAUAUGUGGAUUGGGGUGAAAGCAAAACCUUUGAUCUCUGCCCAUAUGCCAGGCCAAAGAAUGAAGUUGAUUCUAUGAUCUGCAUCAUACGAUUGUCCUGUUUAAAGGAACUUGUAGAAUUCUGAUGUUUCUGCAUCAUAGUUUGUGAGUACUGUAGACAACAUGAUGCUUGUGCUCGGCGCAGGGCAAGCGAAAAAACAAGAUUUAGACAUUCAGUGUCUGCUUAUUUACUUCUAUUAUAAGGUGUGGAAGCCACAGGACUUCUGGUACUGGCCACAGCUUUUGGCAGAUAAUAUGAAUCAGGAGGAGUGGACAUGGUGAAGUAAUGUGAUGUGACGUUAUUACGAAUAGAGGAACCUAUUAUCAUAGGGAAGCAUGGUAAUUUGCUCCCUUCCUUGCCAUUCUUUUAGCCCAGAAAGUGAUGCAACUAUUUUUCGUGAGCCGGCACAAGAGGGAAUCAUUUUCCUGGCUGUGUUUUGAAGCUGGAGCUUUCAUUUUCUUUUGUACAGAUAAAGAUGCUUGUUUAUACUCUACUAGUGGGAUCUUUAUGCAUUUGUCAUUUUCAGAAUAUGAACGUGCCACAGGAUAGUUUCUAAGCUGCAGUUGCGCAAUUGUGCCACGUGCUGUUCCUGGGCUCUGGCGCAGAUGACUAGUGGUUUGGUUACAAUUUAACAGAUUCCCCUUUUACGGAUUCAUGAAAUUUCCAUGAUCACUUGGCGUUCUCUUGUCUGUUCUGUGCUGCUUUUGUCCUUGGCAAAUCAAAUUCUGCGGACUCAAGGCCUUGUGGGUAUUGGAGGCUUCAUUUUUGAAAGGACCGAUCUAAUGCCAUCUGCGAUGUUGUUGAUCUGAAUUUAUGUAUUGCCACUGCUGCCACAAAGAUACUGAUAUGUGUUGACGUUUGGAUCAUCAAACCAAGCAGCUUUCGAUGAAAACAGUUUGUGCUGCCGAAUAUUCUGUUCAUGAUGCUGUAGACUGGACGAAUUAUGAGGAUGGCAGAGGAGUCACGGACUCGAACUGGGAACUACGUAUAUGCUUCCUGUGUUCCGGAAGUAUAGGAGCUGACAUUUUCUUCUUCUUUUUGCGGUUUUUUCUUGUACUCUUUGUUUGGGGAGAAAGACUAUUGCGUGAACUACCGACAACUGUAUCUUCUCUUGCGACCCAGCAAAUAAAUAAAACAGAAGUGGAUCUGGGUUGUGUGUA
This is an RNA transcript of Triticum aestivum (bread wheat), 2381 nucleotides long. RefSeq lists it as uncharacterized. The record is from RefSeq and is a predicted model, not a curated record. Lineage: Eukaryota; Viridiplantae; Streptophyta; Magnoliopsida; Poales; Poaceae. The transcript is spliced from 12 exons.